GACGAACGCUGGCGGCGCGCUUAACGCAUGCAAGUCGAGCGAGAACCAGGGCUUCGGCCCUGGGGACAGCGGCGAACGGGUGAGUAACACGUGGGUAAUCCACCCUCGGCACCGGAAUAGCCCGGGGAAACCCGGAUUAAUGCCGGAUGGCCCGCCGGCCCCGCGGGGCUGGCGGAAAAGGUAGCUUCGGCCUCCGGCCGAGGACGAGCCCGCGACGGAUUAGCUUGUUGGUGGGGUAACGGCCUACCAAGGCUGCGAUCCGUAGCUGGUGUGAGAGGACGAUCAGCCACACGGGGACUGAGACACGGCCCAGACUCCUACGGGAGGCAGCAGUGGGGAAUCUUGCGCAAUGGGCGAAAGCCUGACGCAGCGACGCCGCGUGAGGGAAGAAGGCCUUCGGGUUGUAAACCUCUUUCAGAAGGGACGAAGCCACUCGGGUUAAUAGCCCAGAGGGUGACGGUACCUUCAGGAAUAAGCCACGGCUAACUUCGUGCCAGCCGCCGCGGUAA
RNAcentral lists this ribosomal RNA (509 nucleotides) under uncultured bacterium. Its description in RNAcentral is "partial 16S ribosomal RNA". It matches the Rfam family "Bacterial small subunit ribosomal RNA", at positions 28 to 523 of the family's 1533-position model. The record is from RNAcentral.